This 2651-nucleotide long non-coding RNA is filed under the name Canis lupus familiaris (dog). RNAcentral's name for it is "lncRNA (ENSCAFG00845028873.1)". The record is from RNAcentral. Lineage: Eukaryota; Metazoa; Chordata; Mammalia; Carnivora; Canidae.
GCCACGUGCAGAAGAAUGAAAGUGGACUAUUUCACAAGACAUAAAAAUUAACUCAAAAUAGGCUAAAGACUUGAACAGAAGACCUGAAACCAUAAAACUCCCAGGAGAAAACAUAAGUCUGAUCAGCUCCUUGGCCUUGGCCUUAGCCAUGAUCUUUUGGAUCUGAUUCCAAAAGCAAAAUUAACAAGCAGGGCUACGUUGAACUAAAGGGCUUCUUCAGAGCAAAGGGGUUCAACAAAAUAGGCCAGCCUUAGACUUUUCCCAGUCUCAUCAUGGCCACCCCUUGGACCUGUGGGCCAAGAGGGGUCAGGUCUGCUGUGGAACCUCAGGGGUCUGCAAGUUCUGGGCUCCUGAAGAGGGGCUCUCAAUUGCCUACCGAAUAAUUAAAGGUUGCCUGGAAGAAAGCAGGAGAACUGAAAAACCCUGAGAAAGGGGACACUGACCUUUCCUCCCCACCCUCCAAAUUUCCUUGGGCAGCCAACAGUCUUCUUGUUUACUCAAUGGGAGUGCCUGACCAGGACUCCACCCAAGCCAAACAGUGAGGUUAAACUGUCAGCAAAGCAAAUAGGCUUUCUGCAAGACUUCCUUCACUUCCCUCUUGAAUGGUGUCUUCACAGUUGGCUCAUUACUUCAAUUGGAAUACCUCUGCACAAAAUGAAUCUUAGAAGGAAUUUGGUGCUGCUUCCUAGAGAUCUAGGUUUGCAAAAGGCUGCCUAUGUGAUGGAAGCUAUGUUUGAUCCUGAAGAUCUCUUUAGCUUUUACUUCUGACCAGUGAAUUUUUUUUAAGAAUAUUUUUGUUGAGAUAUUUUCACGUAGUGGGAUAUACAAAUCUUACAUAAACAGUUCAGUUUGGCAAGUACACCCAUAUGGCCCAUAUCCCUAUUCUGUUAGCCCAGAAAAUCCCUAGACAAUCCCCCCAUCCUUGGCCCCUGGCAACCAAGGUUCUCAUUUCUAUCACACGUAUUUUUGCCAGUUCUGGUAUUUCAUAUAAAUGGAAUCCUACAGUAUGUGCUCUUUGUGUCUGGCUUUCGGCUCAGCAUGUUUGUGAGAUUCACCAGUUAUCAGUGUACAGAUCAGUUCAUUCCUUUUUCUGGGUGAACAGUAGUCCAUUAUUUCCAUAUACUCCACUUUACUCCCUCCUUUUCCUAUUGAUAGUCACCAGCACUGUUUCCAGCUUUAAUGACAAGACUGUGAAUAUUCUUGCACAAAUUAUUUUGUGGACAUGUUUUUAUUUCUCUUGGAUGAAUACAAGCACACUUCAUUUUAUUGUGCUUUGCUUUAUUGCACUUCACAGAUGUUUGUUUCUUACAAAUUGAAGGUUUCUGUCAACCCUGUAUCGAGCACAUUUGUUGGUAUCAUUUUUCCAACAGCAUUUGCACACUUUGUGUCUCUGUCAAUUUUGGUAAUUCUCGCAAUAAUUCAGACUUUUUUCAUUAUUGUUAAAUUUGUUAUGUGAUCUGUGAUCAGUGAUUAUGACACACAGCUCCGAUGGUGGCUCUGACUUUUUAAUUAAGGUACAUACAUUUUUUAGACAAUACUAUUGCAUACUUAAUAGACUAUAAUAUAAGCAUAACUUUUUUUUAAGGAUUUAUUUAUUUGAGAGACAACAAGAGUGCUCAAGCAGGAGGGGCAGAGGGAGAAGGACAGACAGAAUCUCAAGCAGACUCUGCCCUGAGACUGGAACCCAAUGCAGGGCUUGAUAUCACAACUGAGAUCAUGGCCUGAGCUCAAACCAAGUGUCAGAUGAUUGACUGCACCACCCAGGCCCACAGACUCACAGAGAACAAGGCCCCAGACUUCCUCUUGGAGGACCAGUUCCUGAGACAGUCCUUGGGAGCUUGGGGGAGGAGGUGCCCACCAAACCUUUGUGGUAUUAGCACCUGAUCUGGAAGCAGGCAGAAAGCCACUGGCCUAAAAAAAGCCUCUGGAGCCCUAGUGGCUCUGGAGGGAGGAAAUAGGAUAAGCUGGGGAGGUAGCUGGUGGAAGGCCACAGGCUGCAGUGUGACACACACCCCCCCGUCACUGCACCAGGUCUGUGGGGUCCACCACACCCACAGAUGCUCCCCACGUGGGGCUGGCUCCUAGUGUGCACAUGAUGAACUUUCACACUUGUUCACGCCACACUGCAAUAGCUUUUCUAGACCCCACAGACUCACAUCAUUCCCAGUGGUAUCUAUCCCCAAAAUUCAACCACUGUUCCUGGGGCUAAUGUCCUAGAGGUGUGCCUGUUCUAGAACAUCAUGUAAAUGGAAUCAUACAAGAUGUGCACUAGUGCCAAUUCCCUCACCCAGUAUCAUUCACCCAAGUUACUGGGUGUGGCUGACCAUUCUCAUCACUGUAGACUGUUCAGCUGUGGGAAUAUGCCACAAUGUAUUUAUCCACUGCAAUGUUCAUGGACAUUUGCAUGGUUUCCAGUUUGGACUGUUUUGAAUAGGGCUGUUACAUUUUUGUACAUGCCUUUUGGCAUUCAUUUCUCUUUAGUAUUUUUUUUGGACUAGAAUAGCUGGUUCUGAGGCAGGUAUUUUUUUUUUUAACUUUCAGGAAUACUAACAGGACACCUGGCUGGCUCAGUCAGAAGAGCAAGCAACUCUUGAUCUUGGGGUCAUGAAUUUGAACCCCACGUUGGAUGUAGAGAUUAUAUAAAUAAGUAA